UCAGGAUGAACGCUAGCGGCAGGCUUAACACAUGCAAGUCGAGGGGCAUCGGGAGUAGCAAUACUCGCCGGCGACCGGCGCAAGGGUGCGUAACGCGUGAGCAACAUGCCCGUAUCAGGGGGAUAAUCCAUGGAAACGUGGUCUAAUACCCCAUAGUAAUUAUGUAAGGCAUCUUAUAUAAUUUAAAGCUUUGGUGGAUACGGAUUGGCUCGCGUGACAUUAGCUAGAUGGUAAGGUAACGGCUUACCAUGGCUACGAUGUCUAGGGGUUCUGAGAGGAAGGUCCCCCACACUGGAACUGAGACACGGUCCAGACUCCUACGGGAGGCAGCAGUGAGGAAUAUUGGACAAUGGAUGGAAAUCUGAUCCAGCCAUGCCGCGUGCAAGGAAGACGGCCCUAUGGGUUGUAAACUGCUUUUGUAUGGGAGCAAUAAGGGCUACGUGUAGUCCGAUGAGAGUACCAUACGAAUAAGCACCGGCUAACUCCGUGCCAGCCGCCGC
This 500-nucleotide ribosomal RNA is filed under the name uncultured bacterium. RNAcentral's name for it is "bacterial SSU rRNA". It matches the Rfam family "Bacterial small subunit ribosomal RNA", at positions 24 to 518 of the family's 1533-position model. The record is from RNAcentral.